Molecule: ribosomal RNA, 468 nt
Filed under: uncultured bacterium
Lineage: Bacteria
Description: partial 16S ribosomal RNA
Rfam family: Bacterial small subunit ribosomal RNA
Source: RNAcentral
GACGAACGCUGGCGGCGUGCUUAACACAUGCAAGUCGAACGGAAAGGCCCUGCUUUUGUGGGGUUCUCGAGUGGCGAACGGGUGAGUAACACGUGAGUAACCUGCCCUUGACUUUGUGAUAACUUCAGGAAACUGGGGCUAAUACCGGAUAGGAGCUCCUGCUGCAUGUGGUGGGUUGGAAAGUUUCGGCGGUUGGGGAUGGACUCGCGGGUUAUCAGCUUGUUUGUGGGGUAGUGGCUUACCAAGCCUUUGACGGGUAGCCGGCCUGAGAGGGUGACCGGCCACCUUGGGACUGAGAUACGGCCCAGACUCGUACGGGACGCAGCAGUGGGGAGUAUUGCACAACGAGGGGAAGCGUGAUGCAGAAACGCCGCGUGCGGGAUGCCGGCUUUCGGGUUGUAAACAGCUUUGGCCUGUGACGAAGAGUGAGUGACGGUAAUUGGUAAAAAAGCAACGGCUAACUACGUG